Molecule: small nuclear RNA, 103 nt
Organism: Protopterus annectens (West African lungfish)
Lineage: Eukaryota; Metazoa; Chordata; Ceratodontiformes; Protopteridae
Source: RefSeq, a predicted model, not a curated record
AAGCUUUGGUAGCACAUAGACUAAAACUGGAAUGAUAUAGUGAAGAUUAUCUUGGCUCCUGUGCGAGGAUGACAUGCAAAUUCAUGAAGCGUUCCAUAGUUUG